RNAcentral lists this ribosomal RNA (560 nucleotides) under uncultured bacterium. Its description in RNAcentral is "bacterial SSU rRNA". It matches the Rfam family "Bacterial small subunit ribosomal RNA", at positions 36 to 524 of the family's 1533-position model. The record is from RNAcentral.
AGGGAACCUGCGGGCGCCUACACAUGCAGUCCCAGCGAUGAUGUUGCUUACCAGAAUAGAGUACAUAUUGUCUAUGUACUUUGCCUAUGCACUGAGCACUGAUAAUUCAGUACUAUCUUCUGUGUAAGUAAUUGAUUAGCGGCAAACGGGUGCGUAACACGUUGAUACUUCCCCCUAAGUCAGGGAUAGCCUGGAGAAAUCCAGAUUAAUACCGGAUAGUCUCGAAAGAGUAAAGGAGCAAUCCGCUCAGGGAAAGGUCUGCGGCCUAUCAGCUAGUUGGUGGGGUAAUAGCCCACCAAGGCAAUGACGGGUAGCUGGUCUGAGAGGACGACCAGCCACAAUGGGACUGAGACACGGCCCAGACUCCUACGGGAGGCAGCAGUGGGGAAUUUUGGACAAUGGGGGGAACCCUGAUCCAGCCAUGCCGCGUGUCUGAAGAAAGCCUUCGGGUUGUAAAGGACUUUUGUACGGGAAGAAAAGGCGAUUGCUAAAUAUCAGUUGCUGAUGACGGUACCGUAAGAAUAAGCACCGGCUAACUACGUGCCAACAGCCGCGGUUAU